RNAcentral lists this ribosomal RNA (499 nucleotides) under uncultured bacterium. RNAcentral describes it as "partial 16S ribosomal RNA". It matches the Rfam family "Bacterial small subunit ribosomal RNA", at positions 899 to 1397 of the family's 1533-position model. The record is from RNAcentral.
ACUCAAAGGAAUUGACGGGGGCCCGCACAAGCGGUGGAGCAUGUGGUUUAAUUCGACGCAACGCGCAGAACCUUACCCAGACUUGACAUCCUUGGAAUCCUGCAGAGAUGUGGGAGUGCCCGCAAGGGAACCAGGAGACAGGUGCUGCAUGGCUGUCGUCAGCUCGUGUCGUGAGAUGUUGGGUUAAGUCCCGCAACGAGCGCAACCCUCGCCUUUAGUUGCCAUCAUUCAGUUGGGCACUCUAGAGGGACUGCCGGUGUCAAGCCGGAGGAAGGUGGGGAUGACGUCAAGUCCUCAUGGCCUUUAUGUCUGGGGCUACACACGUGCUACAAUGGCGGAUACAGAGGGAUGCCAAGCCGCGAGGUGGAGCUAAUCCCAGAAAGUCCGUCCCAGUUCGGAUCGGAGUCUGCAACUCGACUUCGUGAAGUCGGAAUCGCUAGUAAUCGCGGAUCAGCACGCCGCGGUGAAUACGUUCCCGGGCCUUGCACACACCGCCCGU